GUGAACAACGAAGGGCGCGCGGUGGAUGCCUAGGCUCUCGGAGGCGAUGAAGGACGUGAUAAGCCGCGAUAGGCCACGGCGAGGUGCAAGUAACCCUUGACCCGUGGAUUUCCGAAUGGGGCAACCCGGCUGGAUAGAUUCCAGUCAUGCAGUAAUGCAAGCGAACGCGGGGAACUGAAACAUCUCAUUACCCGCAGGAGAAGAAAACAAAAUGUGAUUCCCCCAGUAGUGGCGAGCGAACGGGGAAGAGCCCAAACCGUUGCCGUUUCGGCGACAGCGGGGUCAUGGGACCGCGACAUUCGACGGAAGACGAAGUGCAAUUACCUGGAAAGGUAAGCCGUGGAGGGUGACAGCCCCGUGCACGACACCUCUUUCAAAGAUAGCGGGAUCCCGAGUAGGGCGGGACACGAGAAAUCCUGCCUGAAUUCGCCAGGACCUCCUGGCAAGGCUAAAUACUCCCGAGAGACCGAUAGUGAACCAGUACCGCGAGGGAAAGGUGAAAAGUACCCCGAGCAGGGGGGUGAAAUAGACCCUGAACCCGCGCGCCUACAAGCGGUCGGAGCCGGGUAAUCCGGUGACGGCGUGCCUUUUGCAUAAUGAGCCUACGAGUUAGUCGUCACCAGCGAGGUUAAGGGCUUCAGGCCCGUUAGCCGAAGUGAAAGCGAGCCUUAACAGGGCGUUCAGUUGGUGGCGCUAGACGCGAAACCUUGUGAUCUACCCACGAGCAGGUUGAAGUCGCGGUAACACGUGAUGGAGGACCGAACCGGUAAACGUUGAAAAGUUUUCGGAUGACUCGCGGGUAGGGGUGAAAGGCCAAUCAAACUGGGAAAUAGCUCGUACUCUCCGAAAUGCAUUUCGGUGCAGCCUGUGAUGUUCUGUUCCAGAGGUAGAGCUACUGGUUGGACGCGAGGGCUUCACCGCCUAUCAAAUCCGGAUAAACUCCGAAUGCUGGAACACGAAAUCAUGGAGUGAGCCCGCGGGUGCUAAGGUCCGCGGACGAGAGGGAAAGAACCCGGACCACCGGCUAAGGUCCCGGAUGGACAGUUAAGUUGAUCAAACGAGGUGGGAUCGCUGAGACAGCUAGGAUGUUGGCUUGGAAGCAGCCAUUCAUUUAAAGAGUGCGUAACAGCUCACUAGUCGAGCGAUCCCGCGUGGAUAAUACACGGGCAUCAAACUGUCAACCGAAGCCGUGGGGUUAGUGAUGAGCUAACCGGUAGGAGAGCAUUCCUGCCAGCUUUGAAGGUCACCCGCGAGAGUGACUGGAGCGGCAUGAAAAGCAAAUGUAGGCAUAAGUAACGAUAAUGGGGGCGAGAACCCCCCACGCCGCAAGACCAAGGAUUCCCCGGCAAUGUCAAUCAGCCGGGGGUCAGCCGGCCUCUAAGGCUCACCCGAAAGGGGAUGCCGACGAGAAACGGGUUAACAUUCCCGUGCUUCUCGUCACCGUGACGCGGUGACGGGGUGAUGAAUGGACCGCGCGCUGACGGAAUAGCGCGUUGAAGGCCGUACCCUAUGACGGUGGUAGUCAAGCACGCCACCCGAGGCGAAAGUCGAUAGUACCUCGAGGCCUCGGCCGAGGGGAUAGCGUCCAGGCAAUUUACCCCCUAGAAAACCCGCUAAACUUCAAGUGACGAGGAACCGUACUGUAAACGGACACACGUGGUCGGGUAGAACAUACCAAGGCGCUCGAGUGAUUCAUGGUCAAGGAACUAGGCAAAAUAGUCCUGUAACUUAGGGAAAAAGGACGCUCUAGUGAUAGAGCCGCAGAGUAAUGGCCCAGGCGACUGUUUACCAAAAACACAUGGCUAUGCCAAAUCGAAAGAUGACGUAUAUGGCCUGACACCUGCCCGGUGCCGGAAGGUUAAGAGGAGAGCUCAUCGGAAACGAGAAGGUUUGAAUUGAAGCCCCGGUAAACGGCGGCCGUAACUAUAACGGUCCUAAGGUAGCGAAAUUCCUUGUCGGGUAAGUUCCGACCUG
Molecule: ribosomal RNA, 1974 nt
Filed under: human gut metagenome
Description: bacterial LSU rRNA
Rfam family: Bacterial large subunit ribosomal RNA
Source: RNAcentral